AUACGUAGGUGACAAGCGUUAUCCGGAUUUACUGGGCGUAAAGGGCGUGUAGGCGGUCUUGCAAGUCAGAAGUGAAAUUCCUGAGCUCAACUCGGGCGCUGCUUCUGAAACUGCAGGACUUGAGUGCUGGAGGGGAUAGCGGAAUUCCUAGUGGAGCGGUAAAAUGCGCAGAUAUUAGGAAGAACACCGGUGGCGAAGGCGGCUAUCUGGACAGUAACUGACGCUGAGGCGCGAAUGCGUGGGGAGCAAACAGGAUUAGAUGCCCUGGUAGUCCACGCCGUAAACGAUGAAUACUAGGUGUAGGGGGUAUCGACUCCCUCUGUGCCGCAGUUAACACAAUAAGUAUUCCGCCUGGGGAGUACGGCCGCAAGGUUGAAACUCAAAUGAAUUGACGGGG
Molecule: ribosomal RNA, 397 nt
Filed under: uncultured bacterium
Lineage: Bacteria
Description: partial 16S ribosomal RNA
Rfam family: Bacterial small subunit ribosomal RNA
Source: RNAcentral